This 350-nucleotide non-coding RNA is filed under the name Pongo abelii (Sumatran orangutan). The record is from RNAcentral. Lineage: Eukaryota; Metazoa; Chordata; Mammalia; Primates; Hominidae.
GAGAAGCUUUACUGGUGUUCCAGUCCUAAGCAACCAUCUUUCCUGUGAAAAAUCCCCUCUCCUAGUACUUUAGUUCUGUGGAUCCAAAAAUUAUAGCAUUCUUCUCCCACCACGGGGGCUCAUAACGACAUUAACAGACACUUUUCAGAAAGACAGGUUGUUCUUUUGGGCCACAUCUAAGAAAUCUUUGUCUAGCCAAAAGCCACAAAUAAUUUCUCACUUUUUGGCUUCCGGAAGAUGUACACUUAAAUGUUAUAUUUGGGACUGUUAUCUAAUUUGAUUAAAUUGCUCUCUACAAUAUGAUAUUUGAAUUGAUGAAAAAUUAGUAAAUGUUAAUAUUUUUUAAAGUA